GACAGAGGGUGCAAACGUUGUUCGGAAUUACUGGGCGUAAAGCGCACGUAGGCGGUUUGUUAAGUCAGGGGUGAAAUCCCGGAGCUCAACUCCGGAACUGCCUUUGAUACUGGCAAGCUAGAGUCCGGAAGAGGUAAGUGGAACUCCUAGUGUAGAGGUGGAAUUCGUAGAUAUUAGGAAGAACACCAGUGGCGAAGGCGGCUUACUGGUCCGGAACUGACGCUGAGGUGCGAAAGCGUGGGGAGCAAACAGG
Molecule: ribosomal RNA, 253 nt
Filed under: uncultured bacterium
Lineage: Bacteria
Description: partial 16S ribosomal RNA
Rfam family: Bacterial small subunit ribosomal RNA
Source: RNAcentral